RNAcentral lists this ribosomal RNA (403 nucleotides) under bacterium. Its description in RNAcentral is "partial 16S ribosomal RNA". It matches the Rfam family "Bacterial small subunit ribosomal RNA", at positions 355 to 776 of the family's 1533-position model. The record is from RNAcentral.
UGGGGAAUAUUGCACAAUGGGGGAAACCCUGAUGCAGCGACGCCGCGUGAACGAAGAAGGUAUUCGUAUCGUAAAGUUCUGUCCUAUGGGAAGAUAAUGACAGUACCAUAGAAGAAAGCUCCGGCUAAAUACGUGCCAGCAGCCGCGGUAGUACGUAUGGAGCGAGCGUUGUCCGGAAUUAUUGGGCGUAAAGGGUACGCAGGCGGUUUAAUAAGUCGAAUGUUAAAGAUCGGGGCUCAACCCCGUAAAGCAUUGGAAACUGAUAAACUUGAGUAGUGGAGAGGAAAGUGGAAUUCCUAGUGUAGUGGUGAAAUACGUAGAUAUUAGGAGGAAUACCAGUAGCGAAGGCGACUUUCUGGACACAAACUGACGCUGAGGUACGAAAGCGUGGGGAGCAAACAGG